AAAUAUUCAACAUAAAAUAAAUGUAAAAGACAUCGAGAUUCCUGUCUACAUAAGUAAUUUAUUGUUGAGCAUGUAAAGGUAAGAUUUAAAUUCAAGAUGAGAUUGAGAAUUAUUUCUCCCUCAGCUUGCCAAAAGCUUUUGGACUGUCACAGAGGAUGGACUGAAAGAAAUACUGCCUCUCCCUGUUCCCCAGCAGUGUCAGGAUCAACAUCAAUGUUGUCAUGAUGGAAAAGAACAUUUAAAUUAUUUUUACUGGAGAACAAGUAUGAAGGGGGAGACCAGACAAGCAUUAUAAAAUGUCUAUUUCAAUUUACUAGUAAUCUUUAAUGUACUUUGUUACAACUAAGAUGAACACAUUUACAAUAUAAUAACAUGUUUACAAUGGAAAUAUUCAAAACUAAAAGAAGAAUGCUCUAAGUAACACUUUUUGAUUGAGCACUUAGAACUUUGUCAAAAAUCUUCCCACUCCCAGUCUCACAUGGUCUUCACUCCUGUCCUCAUUUUACCAAGUUUGCAGAUUCUCUGUAAGAAACUCUGAACUCAUAUCCAUCCCACCUAAUCUCAAGUCUGGUGGAUUACAGUUAUUUUCACCAGGAUCGUUAAUCAUUUACUGAUCUCGAUGGGCCUUUAUGUAUCUUGGAUGAACAGACACUGCCUAAGGGAAGAGAGGAAGACAGAGGUUCUAUCAUAUCCUCCUGAAGAUUGGUGCAUGUUAGUCCUUGCAGGACAUAUCUAAGUAUGAAAGCAUACUUCCAGUGUCUCUAAGUAUCAAAGAGAGAAAGUACGUGAUCUAAACUUGAGCCAAACUUUAUUAUCUAUGGCAUAUGAACUGAGGUCUCUAGACAAUGUUAAGUAGGAUCUGGAAGUCAUUUUAAAAUGAGGCUAUUAUAAAUGUCCCUUUAGAAAAUAAGCAGAAAGAUUAUAAAAAAGAAUAAUCCUUGGGCUGGGGAUGUGGCUCAAGUGGUAGUGUG
This 971-nucleotide long non-coding RNA is filed under the name Marmota monax (woodchuck). The record is from RNAcentral. Lineage: Eukaryota; Metazoa; Chordata; Mammalia; Rodentia; Sciuridae.